AGAGGUAAAAUGACAAGUUGGUACAAGAUGGCAACAUCUCUGAAGUGAUUUUAUAUCUUUAUUGAAGUGUAAUCAGGUUUAAGUUGACCUUUCCAAUGAGAUUGAGUGUGUGACUCUGGAUCUAUUCGCAGCUCUAACCUGACUGCUCUGCUCUGCUCCCUUCCCUUCUACUCCGGAUUUGGCCAGCCAGGGGGAAAACGAACAGCUGCUGCAAACGUGUUUGACACGGUUUUUUGGGGACGGGGACUUUCUGAUGCCGUCAGCCGCCGGGAUAGGCUCCGUGCUGCACGGCUGGAGCGAGUACACAGUCAUGGCCGAAGACUAUUGGGAGACUCCGGCGGCGGCUUUGGGAUAUUAUUAAAGAUUUAAGGACACACAGGAAUCUUACAUCCUCCCUUGGGGUGACUGAACAGUGGCUGCGUCUCCCUCUUCAUUGUCUCGGCCCCCCCUGCCCCCUCUGAUGGAGCGCGUGAGGAAGAUCAAGCGGCAGCUGUCUAUGACGCUGCGGCGGGGCAACAGCGGGGACAAGAACCUGACCGAGAGCAUCAACUCUCAGGACACAGGAGCACACAGUGACUCAGAGGCCAUGCCAGGCGGGGGUAGUGCCACUCUGCGUGGUUCAGUGAGAGGAGCGGGCGGCUCAUUCAGCAUGCACUCACUCCUGCAGUCCUACAGCAGCGCCCUGCACCGGCCACGCAGCCUGGGCCGCAGCCUCAGCUCCUAUCUCAACCACACCACACGCCUCGAGAUCGUCCAUGAAGAUGUAAAAAUGGGCUCCGAUGGAGAAAGCGAUCAGGCAUCGGCCACCUCCUCGGACGAGGUGCACAGCCCGGUCCGCGUGAGGAUGCGCAACAAUGCAGGGCGCAAAAUUUCCACUGAGGACAUAAAUAAGAGGCUGUCUCUGCCGGCUGAUAUCCGACUCCCAGACAGCUACCUGGAGAAGUUCAGUUUGAACAGCCCGCUGUUUGAUAAACCGUUGAGCAGACGACUGCGAAGGGUCUCUCUGUCCGAAAUCGGUUUUGGGAAGCUGGAAACCUACGUGAAACUGGACAAACUAGGAGAGGGCACGUAUGCCACGGUCUACAAGGGUCGCAGUAAGCUAACCGAUAACCUUGUGGCUCUCAAAGAGAUCCGGCUGGAACAUGAGGAAGGAGCUCCCUGUACUGCCAUCAGAGAGGUUUCCCUGUUAAAGGAUCUCAAACAUGCCAACAUUGUGACUCUGCAUGACAUCAUCCACACCCAGAAGUCUCUGACGCUCGUGUUUGAAUACCUAGAUAAAGACCUGAAACAGUAUCUGGAUGACUGCGGGAACUGCAUCCACAUGCACAACGUGAAGCUCUUCUUGUUCCAGCUUUUGCGAGGAUUGAGCUACUGUCACAGACGCAAAGUCCUACAUCGAGACCUCAAACCCCAAAACCUCCUCAUCAAUGACCGUGGGGAGCUCAAACUGGCUGACUUCGGUCUGGCUCGAGCCAAGUCGAUUCCCACCAAGACUUACUCGAAUGAAGUGGUGACUCUGUGGUACCGCCCACCAGACAUCCUACUGGGCAGCACAGAUUACUCCACCCAGAUCGACAUGUGGGGCGUCGGCUGUAUCUUUUACGAGAUGGCUACGGGUCGGCCGCUGUUCCCGGGAUCCACAGUGGAGGAGGAGCUGCACUUUAUCUUCAAACUGCUAGGGACACCUACGGAAGAAACCUGGCCUGGAAUAACUUCCAAUGAAGAAUUCAUCUCCUACAACUACCCCCGUUACCGUGCCGACUGCCUCCAUAACCACACCCCUCGGCUGGACAAUGACGGAGUGGACCUGCUGUCCAAACUGCUGCAGUUUGAAGGAAAGAAGCGCAUAUCUGCAGAGGAAGCAAUGAGACACUCGUACUUUCACUGUCUGGGAGAGAGAGUUCUCACACUGCCUGAUACUACAUCCAUAUUUGCACUUCAAGACAUUCAGCUGGAGAAGGAGACGACCAUGAGGACGAGCUCGAUGUCUGACUCCGUGAACAGUAUAUCUCAGCGGCAGAGUCUGCUCUUCUGAUUGGCUCAAGUUGUGACCCUGCUGAAAGAAAGAAGAGAGGAGGACGAAUGGAAAAUUGGUCAUCUGCCAAGCGUGAAGGCAUGACUGUGAAGGCGAACGUGCUUCCUCUGAGACACGUGAAGCCAGUCAACUGCAUCACAGAGCAGUGCAACACACUGAGGAAAGUGCCGUCUGCCCUCUUCCACAUACCUGAGCUCACAGACAUUCACAAUUGGUUAACAUCACUGUGAUUAAUGGGUGAAACAAUACAGACAGGUUUUUUUUUGUUUGUGUCUAACUGUGGAUGCAUGCGACAUUGAAUGAAUGAAUGAAUGAAUGCUCUUCUAUCGGGCUAUUUGAAAGCUGUAAUGAUAUUUCAAAGCUUUGUGUUCCAUCAUCUCAAAAUUGUGCACUAGAUUAUCACAAUCUGAGUGGAUUCUAUCUGACUGAGCUGCAUGUGCAAAAGUGAAUCGCUCAUGAUUUGUAGAUGGGGAGGAAUUCUAAAUAGAUACUGUGACUAAAGUCACAGUAAUUUGCGCUAGCUGUUACAAACCGGGACAUCUGGUCACCGUACCCUGUAGAUCCAGAACGGUAAGAGAUAGAGAAUUAUGCUUAGUGAGGAAAAGUUGCACCUUGCUACCCUGAGCAAAAUUAAAAAAAAAAAACUGAUUGAAGAAAUCAAGAAAAUUGGCAGAUAUAUAAGUGAUAUCAAUUUUUCAUGGAUCAGUGAUCCAGAUCAGCACCAAAAGCCAUAGCAAGGUAAUUCAGCCCAGAGGUAUUCUGCUUGGGUGAUUUGGUUAAAAACUGAGGGAGAAAUGGCGUCCUAAAAAAGUUUUAUGAGAAUAAGAAGAAGAAAGCAGGAAGAUCCUGAGUGAGGGUAACAAUUUGUUUCAGCGCUGCUAGCACAAAUAUUAAUAAUUUUUUAGAACUGCAGUUUUGUGAAGAGAAAGAGGUCAGUGGCAGUUAUAAAGAAAUAAAUCAGGUGAAAGGGUUUUUAAAAUGUUUAAAAAGGCUAAAUUUAAUUGAUACUGCUUAGCUUUUAUUCCCUGCUGGUUGAAAGGCCUGAAGGGGGAUUAUGUCGUGGUAAAGUCCGUCCCGGGAAGGGUUCUCACCUUCUGAAAUCAAAUCCUCUCACAGUUUUUGGAGGAAUUUCAUGAAACUUGGCAAAAGGCAUUGUUAUAGGACAGUAAUACGCAUAUUGCAAUUUCAUUUGCAAUAUAUUGUAGCAGGGGAUGUUGUGCUCUUAGAGCACAUUUAUUAUUAUUAUCGCAGCAGCUUUCGGCAUCGCUGCUAUAAAUGCACUUUUUGUUCGAGGGGUGUACAAACUUUUGCACUCAGCUCAAUUAAACAAGUGAUCAAAUAAAAUUUUAAUCCAAGAAAAUAUUUUCCAAGGGAAUUGUGAGAGACUUGCUCUUGUACUCAAUGAGUCAUUACAGGGGUAAAAAAAAAACUUAUGCUUAAAAUUUCUUCACACUUUAAAAUUUUGUCAUUCUUAAAGAAAUUUACAACCUCAAUUCUUCCAAAUGUCACUUUUUAAAGAUUUUUCUAAUAUUUAUAUUUUCUACAGCGCCCUCUCCAUGUCCCCUUCCACACAGCCUCCUGAGUCACAUGAACAGAUCCUACUUUCAUGAAUCUCCUCCACCUCAUUGUCAUUCAUCCCAUGUCUAAAAAUAAGUACGCCUCUCUGUUCAGAACAGUUUAAUAACCUGCUCUUUGUUUACUGCUAUAAGAUUAUAAGUCAUUCCUUAAACGAUGAGUUAUAAAUCUUUGCUCCUUGGUGUGUUUUGUGCAGCUGCUUGGUUUGUCGAUUGCCUUUAGCUUUUCCUCUCGGUUAAUACCAAAGUGAUAUGAGACCUUGCAUGGGUUGGUUUUAAAUCUUCCAAGAUAACCAAAAUGCUGAUCGUUUGUGCUCCUGUUUUACUACUCCGGCCUCACAGUUUCACAACAAAACACAAUUUAUACAUUAUGUUCUGAUGAAACUACAGCGCAGAUAUAUGAAGAGAUAUCUUUGAUCAAUGUUGUAUAUUUGUUUAUUCACUGUAUCAAAAAAUAUAUAUGAU
Neoarius graeffei (lesser salmon catfish) is the source of this 4074-nucleotide RNA transcript. It is a transcript of the gene named cyclin dependent kinase 16, with no coding region annotated. The record is from RefSeq and is a predicted model, not a curated record. The transcript has 18 exons. Lineage: Eukaryota; Metazoa; Chordata; Actinopteri; Siluriformes; Ariidae.